RNAcentral lists this signal recognition particle RNA (309 nucleotides) under Thermoprotei archaeon. Its description in RNAcentral is "signal recognition particle sRNA". It matches the Rfam family "Archaeal signal recognition particle RNA". RNAcentral also lists the same sequence under 1 other name. Lineage: Archaea; Thermoproteati; Thermoproteota; Thermoprotei. The record is from RNAcentral.
GCAGCGGGUAGGGCUGGAGGCCUGUCCUCUCCCUUGCCAGAAAUGGGCAUCAUGCUGGGGCCAGCAACCGGAGCGGCGAAGGGUUGGAGGGCCUGCGAGGAGCUCGGCCAAGUGGACGAUGAAGCCUUAGCCCUUGGGGGCGGAGGGUCGUCAACCCCUCCUGGAGGGGAGGGUGCUGGCGGCAGCUGCCGGGAACGGAUGAGGCCCGGAAGGGAGCAAUCACACCGGCUAACUCCGUCGUUCAAGGGGGACGGUGGAGUUCAUCGGGCUCGGAGUCGGCCCUCUACCACGGCUGCUCGGAGCCGCUGC